CCUACGGGAGGCAGCAGUGGGGAAUAUUGGGCAAUGGAGGCAACUCUGACCCAGCAACGCCGCGUGAAUGAUGAAGGUCUUCGGAUUUUAAAGUUCUUUUCUAAGGGGAGAAGAAAGUGACGGUACCUUAGUUAUAAGCCUCGGCUAAAUACGUGCCAGCAGCCGCGGUAUUACGUCGGAGGCAAGCCUUAUCCGGAUGGACUGGGCGUAAAGGUUGCUUGGGUGGUUUGACCAGUUAGUAGCGAAACUUCGGAGCCAAAAUUCGGAAGUGCCACUAAAACUGUUUGACUUGAGUGCAGGAGGGGCAAUCGGAAUGCGUAGUGUAGCGGUGGAAUGCGUAGAUAUCAGGAGGAACACCAGUGGCGAAGGCGGAUUGCUAGACUGUAACUGACACUGAGGCACGAAAGCGUGGGGAGCAAACAGGAUUAGAUACCCUAGUAGUC
RNAcentral lists this ribosomal RNA (443 nucleotides) under uncultured bacterium. Its description in RNAcentral is "partial 16S ribosomal RNA". It matches the Rfam family "Bacterial small subunit ribosomal RNA", at positions 338 to 795 of the family's 1533-position model. The record is from RNAcentral.